AACGAACGCUGGCGGCAUGCCUAACACAUGCAAGUCGAACGAGACCUUCGGGUCUAGUGGCGCACGGGUGCGUAACGCGUGGGAACCUGCCCUUAGGUUCGGAAUAACUCCCCGAAAGGGGUGCUAAUACCGGAUAAUGUCUUCGGACCAAAGAUUUAUCGCCUUUGGAUGGGCCCGCGUUGGAUUAGCUAGGUGGUAGGGUAAAAGCCUACCAAGGCGACGAUCCAUAGCUGGUCUGAGAGGAUGAUCAGCCACACUGGGACUGAGACACGGCCCAGACUCCUACGGGAAGCAGCAGUGGGGAAUAGUGGACAAUGGGCGAAAGCCUGAUCCAGCAAUGCCGCGUGAGUGAUGAAGGCCUGAGGGUUGUAAAGCUCUUUUACCCGGGAUGAUAAUGACAGUACCGGGAGAAUAAGCUCCGGCUAACUCCGUG
Molecule: ribosomal RNA, 433 nt
Filed under: uncultured bacterium
Lineage: Bacteria
Description: partial 16S ribosomal RNA
Rfam family: Bacterial small subunit ribosomal RNA
Source: RNAcentral